Long non-coding RNA from Chelonia mydas (Green sea turtle), 1500 nucleotides. RefSeq lists it as uncharacterized. NCBI's taxonomy places the organism in Eukaryota, Metazoa, Chordata, Testudines, Cheloniidae. The record is from RefSeq and is a predicted model, not a curated record. The transcript has 4 exons.
CUCAACCACAAAGCAAGAUAAAACUCCAAAGCAGAAGGAAAAAAGAGAGUAGAUCGUGGAGCUCCCAUUAGGACAAAACAUCUCGAGUUACAGUCUAAGGUCAAUGGACUCAGUGCUUCUAAGCUGCACUGGCUCAGGGAUGGAGUUUGGAAACUCAUCACCCCAACCUGGGUAUUUUGUCUAUGGAGCAAGCCUCCUGUCUGCUUAAACAAGAAUGUUUUGGCAUCUGUCUAUUAUCUAUCAUGACAUGUGAGUAAAUACAACUGCACUUGCAAACAAGAUGGAGCAGAAUCUGAAAAGAUGUAUUCUUGGUGUCACAGGGAGCAACCUGAAAAAGAACAUAUGCGUUCAGGUGAAAAGCAAGUGACUGCCGUUACAGAAUGGUACUUUCAUUUGUUCCGGAAAACACUGUUUUGACAGUGAUGUCUCUUUCUCUAGUGAUGUCUCUAGGGUAAUUUCUGUCCUUUCUUUUUCUAUAUGGCAUAGCAAUGGCAUAUAGUAUCUCUGCUUUAUUUUCUUAUGGUCCAUCACUCCAUGCCCUAUUUUUUUUAAAUCACUGCAGCCUUCUGUGAGUCUUUUCCUGAUUUUUCCUAUACAGUUCCAGUCCAUCAAACUGACCCAUACAGUAAUACCAGAGAAACUCCAUUUUGUGUCCCUGGCUUCCAUUUUAAAUAAGCAAGCAUCACUCCACCUUUAAAUGGAGGCUAAAGGUCACAUAGCACUAAAAACCAAGUUGGCAAGAAAAGGUGAUAAACAGAUCAUAACACUGUGAGCUAUUUAGAAUAUAGGCUAAAGGUUACAUAGUAGAAUUGGUGGGGAAAAGAAGGUGGUAAACAAUUAUUGACAAAUAGAAAUAGUAGUCAAAUGGUAUUGUGUUGUCUAAAAAUAGAAUUGAAAUGGCAUAAAGGUCAGGGUGUCAGUUGACUGCUGACAGUUGAUACCUGACAGGCUGAGAAGAGGUUGAGAAAGCAGCUGAGCAGAGAGCUAAGAAGGCAGAGAAAGGUGUGAAGGUGGUGAGGAUGAGAUGAAGGAGAAGACCACGCAAGCAGAAUGACAAGAGAAAGAUGCAGUGGAGGAGUGAAGGAGAGAAAUAACAGGAGAAGAUAUUGUGCAAUCAGCUGAGGAAGUUUGUCAAAGUAAUAGUUAUAGUUAUAACAUAGUAUAGUAUGAUAAUGUAUAUAAGUGUGGGAGUGAUGGUUAAUAAAGAUCUAUGUAUGUGUGUUGGUUGUGAAAGGGAUUUAUAUAUGCAAAACCUAAUGAACAUCUCAACUACCUGUGAAUGACUGACCACCGUAAGCAGGGACCAGCCACUUAGCAUCAUUUCAAACUAUAAGGCAAUAUAGUUUGAACUACUUUAAAUUGUUAUAAGGAUUUGUGUUUAGAUUGUUAUUUUGUCAAGGAAUGUUAUUUGUAUCAAUAAAAGGCAUCUUAUUUUGGAAAGAAUGCUGCAUGUGUCAAUCAUUUACCAGAAGGCUGUAUCCGUGUCCUCCAAGUAUUCCC